Molecule: ribosomal RNA, 864 nt
Filed under: uncultured fungus
Lineage: Eukaryota; Fungi
Description: LSU rRNA
Rfam family: Eukaryotic large subunit ribosomal RNA
Source: RNAcentral
GCCUUAGUAACGGCGAGUGAAGCGGCAACAGCUCAAAUUUGAAAUCUGGCCCUCGGGUCCGAAUUGUAAUUUGUAGAGGAUGAUUUUGGUGCGGUAUCUUCCGAGUUCCUUGGAACAGGACGCCUUAGAGGGUGAGAGCCCCGUACGGUUGAAUGCCUAGCCUCUGUAAAUCUCCUUCGACGAGUCGAGUAGUUUGGGAAUGCUGCUCUAAAUGGGAGGUAAAUUUCUUCUAAAGCUAAAUAUUGGCCAGAGACCGAUAGCGCACAAGUAGAGUGAUCGAAAGAUGAAAAGCACUUUGAAAAGAGGGUUAAAUAGCACGUGAAAUUGUUGAAAGGGAAGGAUUUGUGACCAGACUUUUUCUGGGCGGAUCAUCCGGGGUUCUCUCCGGUGCACUUUGCCCAGUAAAGGCCAGCAUCGAUUUUCGGCGGCGGAUAAAAGCAGUGGGAAUGUGGCUCCCUACGGGGAGUGUUAUAGCCCAUUGUAUAAUACGCUGCUGGGGAUCGAGGUACGCGCUUCUGCAAGGAUGCUGGCGUAAUGGUUAUCAAUCACCCGUCUUGAAACACGGACCAAGGAGUCGAACAUUUAUGCGAGUGUUUGGGUGUUAAACCCUCACGCGUAAUGAAAGUGAACGGAGGUGAGAGCCCGUACGGGUGCAUCAUCGACCGAUCCUGAAGUUUUCGGAUGGAUUUGAGUAAGAGCAUAACUGUUCGGACCCGAAAGAUGGUGAACUAUGCGUGGAUAGGGUGAAGCCAGAGGAAACUCUGGUGGAGGCUCGCAGCGGUUCUGACGUGCAAAUCGAUCGUCAAAUCUGCGCAUGGGGGCGAAAGACUAAUCGAACCAUCUAGUAGCUGGUUACCGCCGAAG